AGUAAUCCAUUGUAUUUUCAUUAAUAUGUUUCAUACUAAUCACAUGAUCCAUAUCAAGUAACUGUUAGUUUACAAAAAUCCAGCUAAUUACAGAAUUAGGCUCUAAAUCUUGCCUCGUUUUUUCAGUCAUUGAACGAUUUUGCCUGCCACCUGAAGGCAAAGUUACAUACAAACAGGUACUGAAGUUGACGAAGAAAUAUUCAGUGACCUCCUUAGACAAGGCAAUGUGGUACUGACAGUUUUCUGCUAUGAUGAGUUCUCAGAAUGGUCAUCUGCUUCUGAGUCUGACUCGAGCUUCGACUCAAAUGCAUCAACAUCAACAAUACUAAUGGAUGAGAUACCACGCAAGAAGCAAAAACCUGAGAAUCCUAAUAACUCAAUGUCUGCUAAGAAUGUAACAAUAUUUUUUGUCUGCUAACACAUCUAGUAAGUACCUAGAUAUAUCUGAAGAUAGUUGACUGUUCAGAGUACUCAUAAAGUUCUGAUAUUAUAUCUGAAAACUUUUAUAAAUUUGUCCUCAGGCUAUGACCAAGAAACGGCCUCGCUGUUACUGCUCUUACAUCUCCUUCCACCGCAACCAGGAGGACAGAAGUCUCCAAAAAUCAGUGCAAGUGAUGCAGUUGAGAGACUUGUUGUCUUUCAUAAGUCAUGCUGGAGUUUAGAGGAGCAUCUCCGGGGUCAACAGGGUCUGCAGCCAUACCUCCUUGCUGUUGGGCGUCAGAGAAGCAAAAUU
Long non-coding RNA from Xiphophorus hellerii (green swordtail), 733 nucleotides. RefSeq lists it as uncharacterized. The record is from RefSeq and is a predicted model, not a curated record. Lineage: Eukaryota; Metazoa; Chordata; Actinopteri; Cyprinodontiformes; Poeciliidae. The transcript is spliced from 3 exons.